AAAAAACAUUAAUAAAGGCGACUACGGCCGACGGCCGCAGCCGGAACCUAGAAAUCAUCGGCGAUGCGCGAAGCCGACGAUUGGCCGAGCGGCAGGCGGACGACAACGUCGUAGGUGACGAUAUCCGUGCCGGGAAAGAGCAGCGCGGCGAUGUAGGUGGACACGGGCGCGUAGGCCCGAUACAGGUCGAUAUGCUGGCACCGAUCUCGGAGCCGGGUGAGCGCGUCGAGCGUGGUCUCGCUGGGGUCGACCUCGCCCGCGGGCCGCGACGGCCUCUGCACCCCGCGCCUCUGCCUCCCUUGACCCGGUCCGGUGCGCAGGCGUACGGCCUUGCCCAGGGCCUCGUCGAGCGCGCGAUUGACCCUGUACCGCACGAGAUCGCGGAAUUCGCGCGCCGCCUGUGCGUCGGAUCGAGCGAUCGCAUCGAGAUCGGCCCCGAUGAUUUCGCUCUCGCUGGGCCUGAUGCCCGUGCGCCGGUUGAUGUGGAGGCGCCUGUCUUGGAGGUUGGCGACGGCGCCCGACGGCGGAGAAACGUUGAUCACGAAAAAGAGCGGCCCCGCGUCGGGAUCGUCAAAAGGCACCUGCGGCUCGUCGCCCAACUGCACAACGGCCCAGGGCUCGGCGCCGCUAAAGGGCACACGUAACGGAUAGCCAGAGAUGCCAGAGAGACCUCGUGCCCAAUCCUCCAGGUCGGCCAGGGAGACCACGUCGGGCGACCGAAGCACGUCGACGACGUCGCGGUGGGGCGCCACCUCGCUCUGAAGCGACUUGCGAAAGGACGACGACCCGCGCAGCGAUCGCGGCACCACCCUGCGCAGCGCCUGCGCGAUGCCUCGACCGCGCGCACGCACGCCGCGGUCCUCUAGCGGCGAUUGUUCUUCUCCCAAGAGGGCCACGUGCCUGGUUUGGGACGCGGCGCCCGACUCGACGUCUCUCGCGUGGGCGCGCUGGCGCUCCAAGGCGACGCGCACGAUGUGGUCGCGCACGUACAGCGCAUACAUGGCGCAGAAGCGCUCGGCGACCUCGGCGCGGCGUCUCGCCAGUGCCGUCUGCAAGAGGUUGUACUCCACCGUGCCAUGGUCGUUAUCGUCAUCGUCGUCAUCGUCGUCGUCGCUCGACACCGGUGGUGGGCCCACAGAGGGCGGCCACAGCGGACGCGACCCCACCACCGCCGCCGAGACACCAUAGGCCGACUCUAGAUCGGGAAAGUCGCGCGCCCAGUUGGCCCGCGAGGCCUGGCACAAGGCGCGUGCACGGCGGCUGCUCGAACAGAGCGCGGCGGCGUCGGCAGGCCGACCCUGGGCGAGCAGCGAGCGCACGAGGGCGUCAAACACGUCGGCGCCCAUCAUGUCGAUGAGAUCGCCCGACAAUCCCUGUUGUGCACCAUCGCUGUCUGCCCACGCGUACUGGCCCUCUUCUUCUCUUGCUCCAUCCUCGUCAUACUGUACUUGCUGGUCAUACCGUCCGUCCUCGUACCGGGCGCCCCCGUAGAGGCCAUCGCCAUUGUCAUAAAGGCCUCUGUCGUCAUAGGCACCGUCGCUGUCGCUCAGGUUGUCGUUGGUAAAUUGCAUGGCGGCGCCGGUUCCUCGUUUUUGUC
Molecule: long non-coding RNA, 1597 nt
Filed under: Pandoravirus salinus
Description: putative ncRNA
Source: RNAcentral